UACGUAUGGUGCAAGCGUUAUCCGGAUUUACUGGGUGUAAAGGGAGCGUAGGCGGCGCGUUAAGUCUGAUGUGAAAACCCGAGGCUCAACCACGGGAGUGCAUUGGAAACUGGCGUGCUGGAGUGCCGGAGAGGUAAGCGGAAUUCCUAGUGUAGCGGUGAAAUGCGUAGAUAUUAGGAGGAACACCAGUGGCGAAGGCGGCUUGCUGGACGAUGACUGACGUUGAGGCUCGAAAGCGUGGGGAGCAAACAGG
Molecule: ribosomal RNA, 253 nt
Filed under: uncultured bacterium
Lineage: Bacteria
Description: partial 16S ribosomal RNA
Rfam family: Bacterial small subunit ribosomal RNA
Source: RNAcentral